Molecule: ribosomal RNA, 305 nt
Filed under: uncultured bacterium
Lineage: Bacteria
Description: bacterial SSU rRNA
Rfam family: Bacterial small subunit ribosomal RNA
Source: RNAcentral
CCUACGGGACGCAGCAGUGAGGAAUAUUGGUCAAUGGGCGGGAGCCUGAACCAGCCAAGCCGCGUGAGGGAAGAAGGUACAGCGUAUCGUAAACCUCUUUUGUCAGGGAACAAAGGCGGGGACUAGUCCCCGGAUGAGGGUACCUGAAGAAAAAGCAUCGGCUAACUCCGUGCCAGCAGCCGCGGUAAUACGGAGGAUGCGAGCGUUAUCCGGAUUUAUUGGGUUUAAAGGGUGCGCAGGCGGCCUGUUAAGUCAGCGGUAAAAGCCCGGGGCUCAACCCCGUCGAGCCGUUGACACUGGCGGGC